Long non-coding RNA from Ricinus communis (castor bean), 949 nucleotides. RefSeq lists it as uncharacterized. The record is from RefSeq and is a predicted model, not a curated record. NCBI's taxonomy places the organism in Eukaryota, Viridiplantae, Streptophyta, Magnoliopsida, Malpighiales, Euphorbiaceae. The transcript is spliced from 3 exons.
AAAAUAAAAUUAAUUGUGGGCGUCAUUAUAUCAACUUUUUUGGAGAAAGGAAGGGAGGAAGGGGGGCUUAUUUUGUAUUUUUUCAUCUAUUGCUUAAGAAAACAAAAUAUAACAUAAAAAAAAUCCCCUCUCUUCCUUUUUCUCUCUUUCCGACGCUGCCUCCCCUCCCUCCACUCCCUUCCAUUUUCGGUCACAAUCCCGUCGCCGACCACCAAACUUCCUUUCUUCUUCCCAUUUCUCGUCGACACCGUCCUUUUCCCCCUCUCUCUCAUUGUUUUCUCACCGCAGCUAGGAGAAGAAGUCGCCUCCCACGCUGCCAUCGCCGGUUCGACCUCCUGUCAUCACCCUUUCGCCUGUCCGACGCCGGAAUCGAGCUCCCCACCGUCGAAAAUCCCAAGCCAGCUUCUCCACGCCAUUUUUCCUCCGCCGAUAGCCUUAGGAGAGUCUUACCGGAGCAGCUCCCUUCUCAUUGCAAUCUAUCAGUUUCCGACAAGGGCUAGGCGGUGAUUUUGGUGUACUUAAACUCCACGCAACUCAAUCUUCACUUAGGCAUCUCUAAAUUCGAAAUCCGAUACGGUUGGCGAUACCGGCUUUUGGAACCUGGUGUUUUUUAAGCUAGCGGAAUUUUAGAUUUUGACUCGAGUCGGAAAAUAAUGCAGUUUUGGUGACCCAAUUCUCGUUAAAUAAUUAUGAAAUAUUUGAAGUGUUUCUAGCAGGCUUUGAACCCAUUAUAGGGAAGGUGACAGCUAGAUUCUCUACAAACUUCUUUUUGCAUCCCGACUUUCUUUCCCCUUUGGACUUGUUGUAAUUAAAUCUUAACUUUUGUAUUUCAAAUUAUUUAAAAUUCUAGACUCUCUGCAGUAGUGUAUUUGAUACUUUACAUUUUAUCUUGGUCUGUUAAAGAUAAUAAAAUUUUUUUCUAGUAAUCUAGCUUAAGAAUUUAUUUGGC